RNAcentral lists this ribosomal RNA (1028 nucleotides) under Sarcophaga protuberans (Pandelleana protuberans). Its description in RNAcentral is "eukaryotic LSU rRNA". It matches the Rfam family "Eukaryotic large subunit ribosomal RNA", at positions 89 to 936 of the family's 3401-position model. The record is from RNAcentral. Lineage: Eukaryota; Metazoa; Arthropoda; Insecta; Diptera; Sarcophagidae.
GCGAGCGAAAAGAAAUCAGUUCAGCACUAAGUCACUUUGUCUUUAUGGCAAAUGUGAGAUGCAGUGUAUGGAAUGUCAAAUUUCUAGUAUGAGAAAUUAACGAUUUAAGUCCUUCUUAAAUGAGGCCAUUUACCCAUAGAGGGUGCCAGGCCCGUAUAACGUUAAUGAUUACUAGAUGGCAUUUCCAAAGAGUCGUGUUGCUUGAUAGUGCAGCACUAAGUGGGUGGUAAACUCCAUCUAAAACUAAAUAUAACCAUGAGACCGAUAGUAAACAAGUACCGUGAGGGAAAGUUGAAAAGAACUCUGAAUAGAGAGUUAAAUAGUACGUGAAACUGCUUAGAGGUUAAGCCCGAUGAACCUGAAUAUCCAUUAUAGAAAAUUCAUCAUUAUGAUUUUAAUAUUAAUAAUAUUAUAAUAAUGGUGUGCAUUUUUUCUAUAACGGACAUUGUAAUCUAUUAACAUAAAUAUAUUUAUCAUAAGAUCAAUGAUGCGUAAGUUUAUUCAAAUUAUUUUGCUUGCAAUUUUAACAUAGAAUAAAUGCUCUUGAUUUGAUAAAGUGUUGAUAGAUUUAUUGUAUAUAGUGCUUAAAUAUUUAUAUUUUAUAAUAGCAUAUUAAUCAUUGAUUUUUAUGUUUAUUAUAUGCACUUAUAUGAUUAACAAUGCGAAAGAUUCAGGAUACCUUCGGGACCCGUCUUGAAACACGGACCAAGGAGUCUAACAUAUUUGCAAGUUAUUGGGUAUUUAAAACCUAAUAGCGAAAUUAACAUAACUUUAAUGGGAUUAGUUUUUAGAUUAUUUUUAAUAGUCUAUUAAUUCAAUCCCGGGGCGUUCUAUACAGUUAUGUAUAAUAAUAUUUAUAUUAUUUAUACCUCUAACUAGAGCGUACCUUGAGCAUAUAUGCUGUGACCCGAAAGAUGGUGAACUAUACUUGAUCAGGUUGAAGUCAGGGGAAACCCUGAUGGAAGACCGAAACAGUUCUGACGUGCAAAUCGAUUGUCAGAAUUGAGUAUAGGGGCGAAAGACCAAUC